AGAUGAGAUUUCCCAUAGCGUAAGCUAGUAAGACCCCUUGAAGACUACAAGGUUGAUAGGUCAGAGGUGUAAGUGUGGCAACAUAUUUAGCUGACUGAUACUAAUAGGUCGAGGGCUUGACCAAUAA
RNAcentral lists this ribosomal RNA (127 nucleotides) under Clostridium botulinum. RNAcentral's name for it is "partial 23S ribosomal RNA". It matches the Rfam family "Bacterial large subunit ribosomal RNA", at positions 2802 to 2925 of the family's 2925-position model. The record is from RNAcentral. Lineage: Bacteria; Bacillati; Bacillota; Clostridia; Eubacteriales; Clostridiaceae.